UACGUAGGGUGCAAGCGUUAAUCGGAAUUACUGGGCGUAAAGCGUGCGCAGGCGGCUAUGCAAGACAGAUGUGAAAUCCCCGGGCUCAACCUGGGAACUGCAUUUGUGACUGCAUAGCUAGAGUACGGUAGAGGGGGAUGGAAUUCCGCGUGUAGCAGUGAAAUGCGUAGAUAUGCGGAGGAACACCGGUGGCGAAGGCGACCGCCUGGACGAAUACUGACGCUGAGGCGCGAGAGCGUGGGGAGCAAACAGG
RNAcentral lists this ribosomal RNA (253 nucleotides) under uncultured bacterium. RNAcentral describes it as "partial 16S ribosomal RNA". It matches the Rfam family "Bacterial small subunit ribosomal RNA", at positions 524 to 776 of the family's 1533-position model. The record is from RNAcentral.